RNAcentral lists this ribosomal RNA (239 nucleotides) under uncultured bacterium. RNAcentral describes it as "partial 16S ribosomal RNA". It matches the Rfam family "Bacterial small subunit ribosomal RNA", at positions 95 to 334 of the family's 1533-position model. The record is from RNAcentral.
CCGGCGCACGGGUGAGUAACACGUAUCCAACCUGCCGUCUACUCUUGGACAGCCUUCUGAAAGGAAGAUUAAUACAAGAUGGCAUCAUGAGUUCACAUGUUCACAUGAUUAAAGGUAUUCCGGUAGACGAUGGGGAUGCGUUCCAUUAGGUAGUAGGCGGGGUAACGGCCCACCUAGUCUUCGAUGGAUAGGGGUUCUGAGAGGAAGGUCCCCCACAUUGGAACUGAGACACGGUCCAA